Molecule: ribosomal RNA, 855 nt
Filed under: Pseudomonas sp.
Lineage: Bacteria; Pseudomonadati; Pseudomonadota; Gammaproteobacteria; Pseudomonadales; Pseudomonadaceae
Description: bacterial SSU rRNA
Rfam family: Bacterial small subunit ribosomal RNA
Source: RNAcentral
CGAGCGGAUGAAGGAGCUUGCUCCUGGAUUCAGCGGCGGACGGGUGAGUAAUGCCUAGGAAUCUGCCUGGUAGUGGGGGACAACGUUUCGAAAGGAACGCUAAUACCGCAUACGUCCUACGGGAGAAAGCAGGGGACCUUCGGGCCUUGCGCUAUCAGAUGAGCCUAGGUCGGAUUAGCUAGUUGGUGAGGUAAUGGCUCACCAAGGCGACGAUCCGUAACUGGUCUGAGAGGAUGAUCAGUCACACUGGAACUGAGACACGGUCCAGACUCCUACGGGAGGCAGCAGUGGGGAAUAUUGGACAAUGGGCGAAAGCCUGAUCCAGCCAUGCCGCGUGUGUGAAGAAGGUCUUCGGAUUGUAAAGCACUUUAAGUUGGGAGGAAGGGUUGUAGAUUAAUACUCUGCAAUUUUGACGUUACCGACAGAAUAAGCACCGGCUAACUCUGUGCCAGCAGCCGCGGUAAUACAGAGGGUGCAAGCGUUAAUCGGAAUUACUGGGCGUAAAGCGCGCGUAGGUGGUUUGUUAAGUUGGAUGUGAAAUCCCCGGGCUCAACCUGGGAACUGCAUCCAAAACUGGCAAGCUAGAGUAUGGUAGAGGGUGGUGGAAUUUCCUGUGUAGCGGUGAAAUGCGUAGAUAUAGGAAGGAACACCAGUGGCGAAGGCGACCACCUGGACUGAUACUGACACUGAGGUGCGAAAGCGUGUGGAGCAAACAGGAUUAGAUACCCUGGUAGUCCACGCCGUAAACGAUGUCAACUAGCCGUUGGGAGCCUUGAGCUCUUAGUGGCGCAGCUAACGCAUUAAGUUGACCGCCUGGGGAGUACGGCCGCAAGGUUAAAACUCAAAUGAAUUGAC